CGUACAGGUCUCCGUAGGUGAACCUGCGGAGGGAUCAUUACACAAAUAUGAAAGCGGGCUGGAACCUCUCGGGGUUACAGCCUUGCUGAAUUAUUCACCCUUGUCUUUUGCGUACUUCUUGUUUCCUUGGUGGGUUCGCCCACCACUAGGACAAACAUAAACCUUUUGUAAUUGCAAUCAGCGUCAGUAACAAAUUAAUAAUUACAACUUUCAACAACGGAUCUCUUGGUUCUGGCAUCGAUGAAGAACGCAGCGAAAUGCGAUAAGUAGUGUGAAUUGCAGAAUUCAGUGAAUCAUCGAAUCUUUGAACGCACAUUGCGCCCUUUGGUAUUCCAAAGGGCAUGCCUGUUCGAGCGUCAUUUGUACCCUCAAGCUUUGCUUGGUGUUGGGCGUCUUGUCUCUAGCUUUGCUGGAGACUCGCCUUAAAGUAAUUGGCAGCCGGCCUACUGGUUUCGGAGCGCAGCACAAGUCGCACUCUCUAUCAGCAAAGGUCUAGCAUCCAUUAAGCCUUUUUUCAACCUUUGACCUCGGAUCAGGUAGGGAUACCCGCUGAACUUAAGCAUAUC
RNAcentral lists this ribosomal RNA (566 nucleotides) under uncultured fungus. Its description in RNAcentral is "eukaryotic LSU rRNA". The stretch from base 206 to 359 matches the Rfam family "5.8S ribosomal RNA". The record is from RNAcentral. Lineage: Eukaryota; Fungi.